This 547-nucleotide ribosomal RNA is filed under the name uncultured bacterium. RNAcentral describes it as "bacterial SSU rRNA". It matches the Rfam family "Bacterial small subunit ribosomal RNA", at positions 777 to 1320 of the family's 1533-position model. The record is from RNAcentral.
AAUAGAUACCCAGGUAGUCCACACCGUAAACGUUGGGCGCUAGGUGUGGGGUCCUUUCCACGGAUUCCGUGCCGUAGCUAACGCAUUAAGCGCCCCGCCUGGGGAGUACGGCCGCAAGGCUAAAACUCAAAAGGAAUUGACGGGGGCCCGCGACAAGCGGCGGAGCAUGCGGAUUAAUUCGAUGCAACGCGAAGAACCUUACCUGGGUUUGACAUACACCGGAAGCCCCCAGAGAUGGGGGUCUCUUUGAUACUGGUGUACAGGUGGUGCAUGGCUGUCGUCAGCUCGUGUCGUGAGAUGUUGGGUUAAGUCCCGCAACGAGCGCAACCCUCGUUCCAUGUUGCCAGCGGAUUAUGCCGGGGACUCAUGGGAGACUGCCGGGGUCAACUCGGAGGAAGGUGGGGAUGACGUCAAGUCAUCAUGCCCCUUAUGUCCAGGGCUUCACGCAUGCUACAAUGGCCGGUACAAAGGGCUGCGAUCCCGUGAGGGGGAGCGAAUCCCGAAAAAGCCGGUCUCAGUUCGGAUUGGGGUCUGCAACUCGACCCCA